Molecule: long non-coding RNA, 4982 nt
Filed under: Oncorhynchus kisutch (coho salmon)
Lineage: Eukaryota; Metazoa; Chordata; Actinopteri; Salmoniformes; Salmonidae
Description: lncRNA (ENSOKIG00005019772.1)
Source: RNAcentral
AUGAUCAGAACCAACCAACCCCUCCUCUUCCUCUUUUGUCCUAUGAUCAGAACCAACCAACCCCUCCUCUUCCUCAUAUUGUCCUAUGAUCAGAACCAACCCCUCUUCCUCAUAUUGUCAUAUGAUCAGAACCAACACAACCCCUCCUCUUCCUCAUAUUAUCCUAUGAUCAGAACCAACCCCUCCUCCUUGUAUUGUGCUAUGAUCAGAACCAACCCAAUCCAACCCCUCCUCCUCGUAUUAUCCUAUGAUCAGAACCAACCCAACCCCUCCUCCUCGUAUUAUCCUAUGAUCAGAACCAAUCCCUCCUCCUCAUAUUGUCCUAUGAUCAGAACCAAUCCAACCCCUCCUCCUCGUAUUAUCCUAUGAUCAGAACCAAUCCCUCCUCCUCAUAUUGUCCUAUGAUCAGAACCAAUCCAACCCCUCCUCCUCGUAUUAUCCUAUGAUCAGAACCAAUCCCUCCUCCUCAUAUUAUCCUAUGAUCAGAACCAACCCAAUCCAACCCCUCCUCCUCCUCGUAUUGUCCUAUGAUCAGAACCAACCCAACCCUGCAUGAUACCACUGAACUAAAUAUUUCAGAAAAUACUUUGUCAUUAACGUGUUGUUGCUUUCAUGAUAAAAUGUGGGGACUUUAAAUGUCACAGUGAGACUGGUGUGGUGCUCUUCUCUUCUAUAGCCUAUGGAUCCAUCAUACAGCAUGUUGACUCAAAACCCUGUUCCGUUUUCAUCCUAGUUUACUAUCACCCAUAGUGGUAUUGUUGUUGCUCGUGAUGACUCCCGGAGGUGCAGUUGGCUUUUGGUCAUUCUAAUCAGAAGAAAGCUUGACCUGAGCUUGUCUUUUUUUUUUUAAGAAAACAAAUACUAUUUGAACCCAGGUCUGCUUGGGUUAUCCAGACAGUACCAAAGCCUGGACCUAAUCCCUCACAGAGAAGAACCAUAUUACAAUCCAAUCUAUCUAUGAUACUGUUUAUUCAUAGUGGGAGUUUUUCCCUGUCAGAAUCUGUAAUGCCACUUCGGGAAUAGGAGUACAGUAUUACACUCAGUAGUACACUCAGUAUUACACUCAGCAGUACACUCAGUAGUAGUACACUCAGCAGUACACUCAGCAGUACACUCAGCAGUACACUCAGCAGUACACUCAGUAGUAGUACACUCAGCAGUACACUCAGUAGUAGUUCACUCAGCAGUACACUCAGUAGUAGUACACUCAGUAGUAGUACACUCAGUAGUAGUUCACUCAGCAGUACACUCAGUAGUAGUACACUCAGUAGUACACUCAGCAGUACACUCAGUAGUAGUACACUCAGCAUACACUCAGUAGUAGUACACUCAGUAGUAGUUCACUCAGCAGUACACUCAGUAGUAGUACACUCAGCAGUACACUCAGCAGUACACUCAGCAGUACACUCAGUAGUACACUCAGUAGUAUACUCAGCAGUACACUCAGCAGUACACUCAGUAGUAGUACACUCAGCAGUACACUCAGUAGUACACUCAGCAGUACACUCAGUAGUAGUACACUCAGCAUACACUCAGUAGUAGUACACUCAGCAUACACUCAGUAGUAGUUCACUCAGUAGUACACUCAGUAGUACACUCAGUAGUACACUCAGUAGUACACUCAGCAGUACACUCAGUAGUAGUACACUCAGCAGUACACUCAGUAGUAGUACACUCAGCAGUACACUCAGCAGUACACUCAGUAGUACACUCAGUAGUAGUACACUCAGUAGUAGUACACUCAGCAGUACACUCAGUAGUACACUCAGUAGUAGUACACUCAGUAGUACACUCAGUAGUACACUCAGCAGUACACUCAGUGAUCCAUCCGUGCUCUGUUUUCCUUUUUAUUUGCAUGGGAGGGUUCAGUCUCCCAUUUCCACCCCAUAGUGGUUGUUUUAUUUGCAUGGGAUGGUUCAGUCUCCCAUUUCCACCCCAUAGUGGUUGUUUAUCGUUGUUGAUGACGAUGAUGAGUGUGUAGAGACCAUUGUGUGUGUUACACCAUCACCUCAUCAACCUACCCAAUACCUAACCUAACCUAUACCUAAACCCUUCAUAACUAGUCUCCUAUCGAUGGCUUGAUCUAUUAUUGACCCCUACCCUUCAUAACUAGUCUCCUAUCGAUAGAUUGAUCUAUCAGACACCUACCCUUCAUAACUAGUCUCCUAUCGAUAGAUUGAUCUAUUAUUGAUCUAUUAUUGACCCCUACCCUUCAUAACUAAUCUCCUAUCGAUGGAUUGAUCUAUCAGACACCUACCCUUCAUAACUAGUCUCCUAUCGAUGGAUUGAUCUAUUAUUGAUCUAUUAUUGACCCCUACCCUUCAUAUUAGUCUCCUAUCGAUAGAUUGAUCUAUUAUUGACCCCUACCCUUCAUAACUAGUCUCCUAUCGAUAGAUUGAUCUAUUAUUGACCCCUACCCUUCAUAACUAGUCUCCUAUCGAUGGAUUGAUCUAUCAGACCCCUAUCUGUCUGGUAGACCCAGGGCCGGCUCCAGGUAUAAGUGACAUAAGUUCAGUCGGGGUCUCAACUCACAGAGAGUUAGAAUAGUAACACCAGGUGAAAGUUGGACAUGUGGUUGUGCAUCUGCAGUUUUUCUCUUAUGUCGGUCACUGACAGUCACUCAAUUAGCCUUGUCCGCUAACAACUGUUAGAUUGGUAAGUUAGUCUAGCCAGCUUGUAGUAAUCAUGGUCAAAUAUCGACCAGGCACGCAGGGCACGUGUCCAGAGGCCCUGACUUCCAGGGCCCCCCCCCCCCCCCCCCCCCAUUGAUUUUGUUAGUCACUAAUAUCACUUAUAUCAUUAACAUGGCAUACACUACCGGUCAAAAGUUUUAGAACACCGACUCAUUCAAGAGUUUGUCUUUAUUUGUACUAUUUUCAACAUUGUAGGAUAAUAGUGAAGACCUCAAAACUGUGAAAUAACACAUAUGGAAUCAUGUAGUAACCAAAAAUGUGUUAAACAAAUCGAAAUAUAUUAUAUAUUUCAGAUUCUUCAAAUAUCCACCCUUUGCCUUGAUGACAGCUUUGCACACUCUUGGCACUCUCACAACCAGCUUCACCUGGAAUCAUCAAACCAUCUCAAUUGGGUUGAGGUCGUGGGAUUGUGGAGGUGUCUUCGUAACUAUGGGUCUUCCUUUCCUGUGGCGGUCCUCAUGAGCGCCAGUGUAAUCAUUGCGCUUGAUGGGGCGGCAGGGUAGCCUAGUGGUUAGAGCAUUGGACUAGUAACCGAAAGGUUGCAAGUUCAAACCCCCAAGCUGACAAGGUACAAAUCUGUCGUUCAGCCCCUGAACAGGCAGUUAACCCACUGUUCCCAGGCCGUCAUUGAAAAUAAGAAUUUGUUCUUAACUGAUUUGCCUAGUUAAAUAAAGGUAAAAUAAAAAUAAAAUAAAAAAGGUCAGGUCAUCUGAUGCAGCACUCCAUCACUCUCCUUGGUCAAAUAGCCCUUACACAGCCUGGAGGUGUGUUGGGUCAUUGUCCUGUUGAAAAACAAAUGAUAGUCCCACUAAGCAGAAACCAGAUGGGAUGGCAUAUUGCUGCAGAAUGCUGGUUAAGUGUCCCUUGACUUCUAAAUAAAUCACUGACAGUGUCACCAGCAAAGCACCCCCACACCAUCACACCACCUCCUCCAUGCUUUAUGGGAAAUACACAAUGCGGAGAUCAUCCGUUCAGCAAAACCGCAUCUCACAAAGACACGGCGGUUGGAACCAAAAAUCUCAAAUUUGGACUCCAGACCAAAGGACAAAUUCCGAUCGGUCUAAUGUUCAUUGCUCAUGUUUCUUGGCCCAAGCAAGUCUCUUCUUAUUAUUGGUGUCCUUUAGUAGUGGUUUCUUUGCAGCAAUUCGAUCAUGAAGGCCUGAUUCAAUCAGUUUCUGAGGCUGGUAGCUCUAAUGAACUUAUCCUCUGCAGCAGAGGUAACUAUGGGUCUUCCUUUCCUGUGGCGGUCCUCAUGAGCGCCAGUGUAAUCAUUGCGCUUGAUGGUUUUUGCGACUGCACUUGAAACAUUCAAAGUUCUUGAAAUGUUCCGUAUUGACUGACCUUCAUGUCUUAAAGUAAUGAUGGACUGUUGUUUCUCUUUGCUUAUUUGAGCUGUUCUUGCCAUAAUAUGGACUUGGUCUUUUACCAAAUAGGGCUAUCUUCUGUAUACUCCCCCUACCUUGUCACAACACAACUGAUUGGCUAAAACGCAUUGAGAAGGAAACAAAUUCCACAAAUUAACCUGUCAAUUGAAAUACAUUCCAGGUGACUACCUCGUGGAGCUGGUUGAGAGAAUGCCAAGCGUGUGCAAAGCUGUCAUGAAGAAAAAGGGUGGCUAUUUGAUUUGUUUGACACUUUUUUGGUUACUACAUGAUUCCAAAUGUGUGAUUUCAUUGUUUUGAUGUUUUCAUUAUUAUUCUACAAUGUAGAAAAUACCUUGAAAUACCCGGAAGUGUAAGUCAUGGCAAAAUGUGUAGAAUUGAAGAAAAUUCUACACACAAAAAUCUCUCCGCCGUCGGGAGCGGAGGAGGGGGGAGGAACCAAAAUGUUUCGCUUGCAACCAAAUCUCGUUUAGGGUCUUCAAAAUGCUAGAGCCAUCCCUGGGUAGACCCUUACCAGAACAUCCACCGUCAUAACCUCCAUCACAGUGUUAGAGUUACCAAUAGUUACCAUUAUUUACCAAUUGUUUUAUAUAAUGCCAACCAUGCAUUUUAGGAAUCUUUGUUGUAGCUUGUUCGAUGGGACAGUCACAAAAAUGUAAAAUUAAACGAUAUACAAAGAAUGUGUGUCAUGAAGUGGGAACAAAAUGUGGCAUUCCUCCUGACAUCUUGUUCACCGCCUGUUAUUAUUCAAUGUAAAUAUCAAUACUGUAUGUUACAAUAAAAUAAUACCCCCCCAACUAAUGUGUUUGUGGUAUGUAUGUGUAUCUGUCUAUAUACAGUUGAAGUCAGAAGUUUACAUAAACCUUAGCCAAAUACAUUUAAACUCAGUUUUUCACAAUUCCUGACA